CCUACGGGUGGUGCAGUGGGGAAUAUUGCACAAUGGGCGCAAGCCUGAUGCAGCCAUGCCGCGUGUGUGAAGAAGGCCUUCGGGUUGUAAAGCACUUUCAGCGGGGAGGAAGGCGGUGAGGUUAAUAACCUCAUCGAUUGACGUUACCCGCAGAAGAAGCACCGGCUAACUCCGUGCCAGCAGCCGCGGUAAUACGGAGGGUGCAAGCGUUAAUCGGAAUUACUGGGCGUAAAGCGCACGCAGGCGGUCUGUCAAGUCGGAUGUGAAAUCCCCGGGCUCAACCUGGGAACUGCAUUCGAAACUGGCAGGCUAGAGUCUUGUAGAGGGGGGUAGAAUUCCAGGUGUAGCGGUGAAAUGCGUAGAGAUCUGGAGGAAUACCGGGGGCGAAGGCGGCCCCCUGGACAAAGACUGACGCUCAGGUGCGAAAGCGUGGGGAGCAAACAGGAUUAGAUACCCGAUAGUC
RNAcentral lists this ribosomal RNA (463 nucleotides) under uncultured Klebsiella sp. RNAcentral's name for it is "bacterial SSU rRNA". It matches the Rfam family "Bacterial small subunit ribosomal RNA", at positions 338 to 795 of the family's 1533-position model. Lineage: Bacteria; Pseudomonadati; Pseudomonadota; Gammaproteobacteria; Enterobacterales; Enterobacteriaceae. The record is from RNAcentral.